ACAUCCAGCGAACUUGGCAGAGAUGCCUUGUGCCUUCGGGAACGCUGAGACAGGUGCUGCAUGGCUGUCGUCAGCUCGUGUUGUGAAAUGUUGGGUUAAGUCCCGNAACGAGCGCAACCCUUAUCCUUUGUUGCCAGCGAUUCGGUCGGGAACUCAAAGGAGACUGCCGGUGAUAAACCGGAGGAAGGUGGGGAUGACGUCAAGUCAUCAUGGCCCUUACGAGUAGGGCUACACACGUGCUACAAUGGCGCAUACAAAGAGAAGCGACCUCGCGAGAGCAAGCGGACCUCAUAAAGUGCGUCGUAGUCCGGAUCGGAGUCUGCAACUCGACUCCGUGAAGUCGGAAUCGCUAGUAAUCGUGGAUCAGAAUGCCACGGUGAAUACGUUCCCGGGCCUUGUACACACCGCCCGUCACACCAUGGGAGUGGGUUGCAAAAGAAGUAGGUAGCUUAACCUUCGGGAGGGCGCUUACCACUUUGUGAUUCAUGACUGGGGUGAAGUCGUAACAAGGUAAGCGUAGCGAG
RNAcentral lists this ribosomal RNA (524 nucleotides) under uncultured bacterium. Its description in RNAcentral is "bacterial SSU rRNA". It matches the Rfam family "Bacterial small subunit ribosomal RNA", at positions 984 to 1509 of the family's 1533-position model. The record is from RNAcentral.